GACCCUACUUUCCGAUGUUCUUUAACAAUUUGGAAGGCAAGGCGUUCAUUGGCUUGAUGAGAGCCGGUGGACGUUAGGGUUGAGAUGUAUCUUGGUCUGUCGCUGUUGAAAGGUCGGCGAUGGGCUGGCGCAAACACGCUCAUGAGGUGUUGCUUUGGGUGUUGGGGUUGGGGCUGGGGGUUUCUGACUUCUGUCCUCUGACGCUGAUAUCUGGAAGCGGCACGCUUAUGGGGUCAAGCGACGAAGUGCAUGUGGUGGAUGCCUUGGCGAUUACAGGCGAUGAAGGACGUGGCAGUCUGCGAAAAGCUGCGGGGAGCUGGCAAACGAGCGUUGAUCCGCAGAUGUCCGAAUGGGGAAACCCGG
RNAcentral lists this unclassified non-coding RNA (363 nucleotides) under uncultured bacterium. Its description in RNAcentral is "partial contains 16S ribosomal RNA, 16S-23S ribosomal RNA intergenic spacer, and 23S ribosomal RNA". The stretch from base 232 to 363 matches the Rfam family "Bacterial large subunit ribosomal RNA", at positions 1 to 131 of the family's 2925-position model. The record is from RNAcentral.